UAAGAGUGUAGUUUUGCAUUAUUCAUAUCCAACGUUGACCGUUUGAUCAUUAUUUAAAAAAUAUUUAUGAUUAGUAUUUUUAUUGUUAUGAGAUGAUAAAACAUAAAUAUUUUUUGUGUGACUAAUUUUUUUAAUUUUCUCAUAAAUUUUUCAAAUAAGUCGAACAUCCAACUGUUGGACACGAAACCAUAUAAUCUACUUAAA
This 204-nucleotide microRNA precursor is filed under the name Oryza rufipogon (brownbeard rice). Its description in RNAcentral is "MIR812 microRNA precursor family". It matches the Rfam family "MIR812 microRNA precursor family". Lineage: Eukaryota; Viridiplantae; Streptophyta; Magnoliopsida; Poales; Poaceae. The record is from Rfam by way of RNAcentral.